RNAcentral lists this ribosomal RNA (794 nucleotides) under uncultured bacterium. RNAcentral describes it as "bacterial SSU rRNA". It matches the Rfam family "Bacterial small subunit ribosomal RNA", at positions 97 to 928 of the family's 1533-position model. The record is from RNAcentral.
GGCGGACGGUUGAGUUACACUUGAAUAUUCUGUCCUCAAGUCCGGGAUAACCAGGUGAAAGUCGGGCUAAUCUGGGUUAAGUGAGAGUGUGGCAUCACACAAUCAGAAAGUUCGUUUGAGGAGGAGUUCGCGGCAUAUUAGCUAGCUUGUGAGGUAAUGGCUCACCAGGUCUACAAUUUAUAUCUGGUCUGAGAGGACGAUCAGUCACACUGGAACUGAGACACGGUCCAGACUCCUACGGGAGGCAGCAUUGGGGAAUCUUCCACAAUGGGCGCAAGCCUGAUGGAGCAACGUCGCGAGAGUGAAGAAGGUCUUCGGAUUGUAUUGCUCUGUCCUUAGGGAAGAUGACGGUACCUUUGGAGGAAGUACUGGCUAACUACCUGCCAUCACCCGCGGUAAUAAGUAUAGUGCAAGUUAUUUCCGGAAUUAUUGGGCGUAAAGGGUUCGCAGGCGGAUAUUCAAGUCAGGCGUGAAACGUGUCGGCUUCACCGACAGACUGCGUUUGAAAUUGAAUAUCGUGAGUGUUACAUAGGAGAGUGGAAUUCCUAGUGUAGUGGUGAAAUACGUAGAUAUUAGGAAGAACACCAUUGGCGAUGGCGACUCUCUGGGUUAACACUGAUGCUGAGGUACGAAAGCUGGGGGAGUGAACGGUAUUACAUACGCCGGUAGUCCCUGCCGUAAACGAUGUAUACUAUGAGUUGCACCUUCAGUGCCGGAGUUAACUCAUUAAGUAUCCCUCCUGGUGAUUACGAUCGCAAGAUUGAAACUCAAGGAAUUGACUGGGGCCCGCAACU